Molecule: ribosomal RNA, 253 nt
Filed under: uncultured bacterium
Lineage: Bacteria
Description: partial 16S ribosomal RNA
Rfam family: Bacterial small subunit ribosomal RNA
Source: RNAcentral
UACAGAGGUCUCAAGCGUUGUUCGGAUUCAUUGGGCGUAAAGGGUGCGUAGGCGGCGCGGUAAGUCGGGUGUGAAAUCCCUCGGCUCAACCGAGGAACUGCGCCCAAAACUACCGUGCUCGAGGAAGAUAGAGGUGAGCGGAACUUACGGUGGAGCGGUGAAAUGCGUUGAUAUCGUAAGGAACACCCGUGGCGAAAGCGGCUCACUGGGUCUUCUCUGACGCUGAUGCACGAAAGCUAGGGGAGCAAACGGG